CUCAAUAAAUAUUCAAGUCUUACAUCAUAAUCUACUCAAUUACUUUACAUUCCCAAAAUAUACAGCUUCCAAAAUCAAAUUUUAAACAAAUACAUUCACAAUUCUAAUCAAGUGAAGCAUCAAGUAAGCUUCUCCAGAAUUCCUCCCAUUUUAGCUCCUGUUAAGGAAAAACAAAUCUAACGGGUGAGCGGACGCUCGUGAGGCCAAGAAAAUAUGCAAGACAAGUAAUUCAAUAGCAAUAGCACUUACACAACAGUGACAACUAUAACAUUCAAGAAAUUCACAAUUUAUAAUAAACCCCCUUGAGUAGGAUGUAGGAGCUCUCAGGAGCUAAAUCUUUGUUUACUUUGCCCCAAGUUCAAUUCAAUACCUUCUCGUGACGACACCCCGUCACCCGGGUAGAUAAUUAAAUUCAUAGCACUUUACAUAUUUCAUUUAUGUUUCUGAGACGACUUGAGAGGCACCUCCCACCCAAAUCGGUAUGAUAUUUACUAUCGCUCAAUUUAUAGCUCUGAGACUGUCGCGCCCCAUUUUUUUGCGAUGGAAAAAGAAAGUGUUUAUAAAAAAUGUGAUUUAUUAAUAAUAAACGGAAAAGGACCAAGAAUGGGACUUAAAAAAAAUGCGACAAUUUGGGUCCAAAAUUUAGUCUAAAAGGGUUUUGAAGAAAAAUUAGGAGUCGCCACUUGGUAUCAAGUUUGGGUGUACCAAGUCACCCCAAAAUAUUUUUAACAAAAUAAAAUAAAAUAAAACCCUUUUAGACAACUCCAGGUCUUUGAAAACAAGAGAAAAUGAGUUCGGGAGUCACGGUUGAAGAAAGGGAAGGCAAAGGUUCAAUCAACUCAAACCUAAGACACCCUUUCAACCUAGUCUAAGCUAGUUGCGUGGUUUAGUCAAAAUUUUCUUAUUUUAACCCUUAAUUUAUCACAUUUUGAAUGUUUUCUACAUGGAUGCAAAUCUAAAUUCAUAAAAACAUCGAAAGGAACAAAUGUUCAUUCAAGGGUUUAAUUGAACCAAUCGCAUUAAAUGCAAAGGCCAAAAUAAUUCCUUGAAGGUGUCACGAGUAUGUCACGAAGCAAAUGAUGAAAUUAAAAGUAAAGAUAUAGAAAUUAAAUUAUAUACAUAGUUAUAAGUGAUCAAAGAAAAAGGAAAUGCAGCAUAAUGGGUACGGGAGACAAAAACUCGUGACAUAAUUUUCUUAUACAAGGAUUAAUGGGGUAUUUAAACUAAAGAGUUAUAAUCACCCAUAUCCAUGUUCAAAAAUAAUUCUCCUAAUAUGAACAAGCAAAUGAACUAACUUAUUUCACAAUUUCUUAAAUGAAGUGCAAUUCUAAAUGAUUUGAUUAACACAUAUAGAGGGUAGGGGGUAGAGGAUAAUAUAAUAGAAAAUAUCAUGCAAAUGAGAAAAUUCUAAAAAAUAAAAUAUACAUGGAAAUGUAAUGGAUAUCACACAAAAGAUGAAUCUAAUGCAUGAACAAUCUAAGGGUAUAGCGUUGGACUAACCCAUUUCUAAAAAUACUUACUAGCGUUGGACUAGCAAGUAAGCGGAGGGAGAAGCCACAACUAGCGUUGGACUAGUGUGGUGACGUUAUGCAUUAACAAUAUAUAGUGAAGCAAAUAAAGCAUAAAUUAAAACAAAUAAACACAUAAGAGCACGUAACACAUAACACGUAAGCAUAAUAUCUAUAUGCCAAAGUCCUAAGAAAAGCGGAUAAAACACAUAACACAUAAGCCACAUAAACACACAACUUAUCUAUUACAUCGGGGAGCGCCUGACUACAAUCUAGGAGGGAAAAAUAUAAUAAAACAAAUCUAAUUAUCCUAUCUAUUACAUUUUUGAGGUAUUUAAAUACCUCUCGAAUCAUUAUAAAAAUUAACUAAAACGUAUAUAAGAAAAUUUGAAUGAAUAUUUGAAUCAAAUAAAUAAAGCAUAUAAAAAUACAUAAACACAUAGGAACACAUAGAAGCACAUAAGAGCACGUAAUUGACAUUGAAAUAAUAAAAAUAGGGGUACCUCCCGUUUGAAGUGGUGACUAAAUGGGAAAUUGGAUUUGCCCUAUUUACCUCCAAAAUUAACAAAAUCAUCAAGGCACCAAUCUAAUUAACAAAUAAAUCAUAACAAAUGGAAAUAAAAAUAAAAUCAAUCAAUUGAAACACUUAAAUGAAGUGUAAUCAAUGACUAUAGAAGAAAAGCAACUUCUAUUUAAGCAAUCCAAUCUGUUAGGGAUCUAAUUGCAAGAAUAAACAAAGUUUUGGGGUAAAUUAUAAUUAUCAUAAAGAUAUGGGAUAAAAAUUAAAUAAAAAUAAAUUUUAGGGACCUAUUUGCAAUUAUAUUAAGGACCUGAUUGAAAGAAAUCAAAAUAUUUAGGGCCAUAGAGAAAAUGCUCAAAGGUACAGGGACUGAUUUUCAAUUUCGUAACCAGAUUUCUCAGCCAAAUGGGCCACUGGGCCAUCAUUUUAUUUAUUUCUGGGCCAAAAACUACCUAAGCCCAACCGAAACCCAAAGGAAAAUAAAUGGCCCAGCCCAUCUCUUUUGUCAAACAAACCCAGCUGAAAUACAUGGGAUUCAACUCCCAAGCCCAUCCGUAAAACCCAAAAAAAAGAACUAAAACCCAAGUCAAAAUCCAACUAAAAACAAACGCAAGCCCACUAAAACAAAUAACCCAACCCACUUUCCUUUUCUUUCUUUUCUUUUCUUUCUCUUUUCUUCCCCAUACGUUUCCUUUCCUUCUUCUUCGGCCAACCGAAGAAGCUUCAGCUGGCAGCCAUGGUGGCCGCCGGUGGCGCCGCCGCCACCGGACCGCCGCCGCCGAUGACCUCUCCGGUCACCAAAAAUCCUCAAAAUACACCUCCCCACUCGAUUUUUCGCGUAGAUUCCAUUUUCGGAGUUUGUUUUUACAAAAGAUGAUCUGAAAGUGGCCAAAAUGUCAAAAUACAGUCCAGUUUUUAUUUUUUAAAACACCCAAAUCUUUCACCAAAAAUCAUAAAAAAUAUAUUACAAUACUCCUUACAACUUCUGCAAUACAACUAUGAUUUAAUCCGGCAAGAAAACAACAUAAAAAACUAAAAUAAAUCAAAACAGUCCCCAAAAUUCAUUUUUUGUUAUUUUUGCAUUUUCACAAGCAAUUAACAUGCAUUCACAGAAAUCAUUUUUUUUUAUGUUUAUUCAUGGAUUCCCCAAAAAUUCAACAAUAUCAGUAACAACAACAAACGAAGCCAAGGGACAAACAAACAUCAAAUCAUGUAUUUAAUUUAAUAAAUUAAGGAAAGGAAAAAACUGAAAAAGAUGAAAGAAGAAUAAAUACCUCAAUGAAAAUUGUAGUCUCUUGACAAAAUUUGAUGAAAUUACAAGCUCCAAUAAUUUUUAUUGGCUUUGCCCUGUCCAAGAGAAAAUCUGAGAGUGAGUAUUUUAUUUUGCUAAAAAUGAGGAAGAGAAUCUGAGAGAGAGCCGAAAGAUUUUUCUUCCCUUCUGCACCCGAGGCCUGAGAGAGGGAGCAAAUGAGGGAGGUCUAUGGCAAUUUUUCUUCUUCUGCUUCUUUUGCUUUCUUUGCGGCCAAAGGACCUCUGAGAGUCAGUCCCCGAGAGAGUUUUCUUUUCUUCUCUCUUUUGUCCGUUGCUCUCCCGAGAGAAAUGAGGAUUCCGUCGUCUCCCAAAUGAGUUUUCCC
Molecule: long non-coding RNA, 3662 nt
Filed under: Coffea arabica (coffee)
Lineage: Eukaryota; Viridiplantae; Streptophyta; Magnoliopsida; Gentianales; Rubiaceae
Description: long non-coding RNA (CARA_LNC006831)
Source: RNAcentral